CGGGAAACUGGGGAUAAUACCCGAUGGUCCUCGACUGCUGGAAUGCAUCGAGGACUAAAGCUCCGGCGCCUAAGGAUGGGUCUGCGGUCUAUCAGGUUGUAGUGGGUGUAACGUACCUACUAGCCUACGACGGAUACGGGUUGUGGGAGCAAGAGCCCGGAGAUGGAUUCUGAGACAUGAAUCCAGGCCCUACGGGGCGCAGCAGGCGCGAAAACUUUACAAUGCAGGAAACUGCGAUAAGGGGACACCGAGUGCCAGCAUCCUAUGUUGGCUGUCCGCAUGUUUAAAUCACAUGUGUUAGCAAGGGCCGGGCAAGACCGGUGCCAGCCGCCGCGGUAACA
RNAcentral lists this ribosomal RNA (341 nucleotides) under uncultured archaeon. RNAcentral describes it as "partial 16S ribosomal RNA". It matches the Rfam family "Archaeal small subunit ribosomal RNA", at positions 133 to 475 of the family's 1478-position model. The record is from RNAcentral.